This 648-nucleotide ribosomal RNA is filed under the name Ligilactobacillus acidipiscis. Its description in RNAcentral is "bacterial SSU rRNA". It matches the Rfam family "Bacterial small subunit ribosomal RNA", at positions 64 to 699 of the family's 1533-position model. Lineage: Bacteria; Bacillati; Bacillota; Bacilli; Lactobacillales; Lactobacillaceae. The record is from RNAcentral.
GAGUGCUUGCACUCAGCGGUCAAAGUGCGAGUGGCGAACGGGUGAGUAACACGUGGGCAAUCUGCCCGAAAGUGGGGGAUAACACUUGGAAACAGGUGCUAAUACCGCAUCAACCGGCUGACCGCAUGGUCGGCCGGGCAAAGACGGCGUCAGCUGUCGCUUUUGGAUGAGCCCGCGGCGUAUUAACUAGUUGGUAAGGUAACGGCUUACCAAGGUGAUGAUACGUAGCCGAACUGAGAGGUUGAUCGGCCACAUUGGGACUGAGACACGGCCCAAACUCCUACGGGAGGCAGCAGUAGGGAAUCUUCCACAAUGGACGCAAGUCUGAUGGAGCAACGCCGCGUGUAUGAAGAAGGUCUUCGGAUCGUAAAAUACUGUUGUCAGAGAAGAACACGUGAUAGAGUAACUGCUAUCACGCUGACGGUAUCUGACCAGCAAGUCACGGCUAACUACGUGCCAGCAGCCGCGGUAAUACGUAGGUGGCAAGCGUUGUCCGGAUUUAUUGGGCGUAAAGGGAACGCAGGCGGUCUUUUAAGUCUGAUGUGAAAGCCUUCGGCUUAACCGGAGAAGUGCAUUGGAAACUGGAAGACUUGAGUGCAGAAGAGGAGAGUGGAACUCCAUGUGUAGCGGUGAAAUGCGUAGAUAUAU